Long non-coding RNA from Oncorhynchus masou masou (cherry salmon), 937 nucleotides. RefSeq lists it as uncharacterized. The record is from RefSeq and is a predicted model, not a curated record. NCBI's taxonomy places the organism in Eukaryota, Metazoa, Chordata, Actinopteri, Salmoniformes, Salmonidae. The transcript is spliced from 3 exons.
AUUUCCUAAACCCUCUCUGUCUGGCAGCAGCACACACAAUGGUGGAACUGUGGAUAUUCAAGUUUUAGGAGAGGUGGAAUCCAAGAUGGACAACAAAGAUCUGGAGAUGUCUAGUGCCUCUGUGCAUCCAUCAACUACAUCAGCCAUGGACUCUGAUACACAUGCAUUAUUUGACUCCACUAGCAAUGACUACACCUCUUUGGUACUUUUACUGAUUGUUAGAUUGCUGUCAAUGAUCACCCCUAUCACAUUACUGGAAUCCUCCGACAUUGGUGAAACAUCAAGAGUUCUCACAAAGAGGAUUCUGUCUGAGUUCUGUGGCACCUCAGGCCCUGAACAAACUCAAGCCUAUCCCCAGAAUCUGAAAAUCAAAAAGAUUUUCAAGGCUGUCUACAUGGGGCUUCUUCAAGAAUUCGGGUCAGAGAAGAUGCUCCAGGUUGCAAUGAAGUCAACGGAUUAUGCAUUUGACGAUGCCCUGGUCAAAUCAUUAACUAGGGAACUACUAGCUAAAUGCGAUGAGGCUAGCUCUUCACCUCCCUCCAUGACCCAGUUGUCAUCACACAAUGCACUUGGCAGUGACGAGGUAUGUAAUUCUGGGCUUCCAACAACUGGUAGAAAGGAAAAGAAGAGAGGAAGAUUCAGCGCUCUCUGUGGACUCAACCCAAAGUGUACAAAGAAGGACAACAAGAAGAACCACUGCACUCCAACACCUUCCCAGAACCAGACCCCUGCCGUCAGUGAAACAGCAAUUGUCAAUGAUCAAGAAUCCUGCCGAACAGAGAGUGUAUGCUCCACCAAGAAGAAACCAAGGAAGCGUUCGCUCAUUUCCAGGAUGUUUUCAGCUAUAGGCAAAGCCUUGUCCAGUCCCUUUACUUCCUGCUAUAAAAAGAAGAGCACCUAAUCUAUAUUUCAAAAUAAAUAUUUGAAAUUAACAUAA